CCUACGGGAGGCAGCAGUAGGGAAUAUUGGGCAAUGGGCGCAAGCCUGACCCAGCGACGCCGCGUGAGGGAUGAAGGUCUUCGGAUUGUAAACCUCUUUCAGUAGGGAAGAAGCGAAAGUGACGGUACCUAAAGAAGAAGCACCGGCUAACUAUGUGCCAGCAGCCGCGGUAAUACAUAGGGUGCAAGCGUUGUCCGGAAUUAUUGGGCGUAAAGAGCUCGUAGGUCGUUUGUCGCGUCGAUUGUGAAAAUCUGAGGCUCAACCUCAGACCUGCAGUCGA
RNAcentral lists this ribosomal RNA (280 nucleotides) under uncultured bacterium. Its description in RNAcentral is "partial 16S ribosomal RNA". It matches the Rfam family "Bacterial small subunit ribosomal RNA", at positions 338 to 630 of the family's 1533-position model. The record is from RNAcentral.